RNAcentral lists this long non-coding RNA (2679 nucleotides) under Ixodes scapularis (black-legged tick). Its description in RNAcentral is "uncharacterized LOC120840465, transcript variant X3". The record is from RNAcentral. Lineage: Eukaryota; Metazoa; Arthropoda; Arachnida; Ixodida; Ixodidae.
CGUCAAGCCUUGUGACGAAACGGAAUCGGACUUCUUCAAGGCGCGGAUCCUAAAGUUGUUUGGUAAGUUCUAGUCUCCACACGCGUUGUGCCCAGUCUAGUGACCAUCUCCUUUAAGUUAAAAAUUGCAGCUUUAAGCACAAUAUGUGGGAGUAACUCUCGGCGCCGGUUGUUUCAGGAUCGCAGAGUGACGCGGAGACCCAGUGACAGUAGGCGGGUGCUAGUACCUCCGACGAGAUGAGUGACUGCCCGGGGGGGUUGGAGGAAGCUUGUAUGAGACAGGUAAUUAUAAUUUCAUUUUCGCGCUUGCGAAGCAAUUCAUAAGACGUAUUUUAAAUUUGAGAUUUUCUUUAGUUAUGCCGCCACAAGUACAAGGAAUUUCAUUGAUAGGGGUGCCAUGUGUUUGUUUUCAUAUGGCCAGAAACUAGGUAAAGGUUAUGUGUUUUAACAUUUUUUCUGUGCUGAUAGGCUUAAGGUUUAAAUGAAUUAUAUCUGUCAAGGCGUGGCGCAGUCUGUGUCUAUUUGGAGAAGAGGUAUGUGUGUGUGUGUGUGUGUGUGCGUGCGUGCGUGCGUGCGUGCGUGUUCGUUUGUUUGUUUGUUCGUUGGGGGAGAGAGAGGAGAUGAAGAAGAGGAGGAGGGUGAGGGAUCAGGUCGAAUCAUUCAAAUCGUUAACUCUGACAGUAAUGAGGUAAGAAGGAUACCUGCUAGUUACACCGGUUGGGUUUUGUGCCAAACUCAAAUUGCGUUUUGCCGCGUAAAUAUUGCUACAAUUUUUUUUUUCAUCAACAAAAUUAAUUUUGAGGCAUGCCGUUGACAAAUAGGACCCCUGUUUUCAAUCCCAGUCCAGGUUAUUUGCGACUCCAGCGAACUAUAGAUGGCGCGCUGCUCAGGCAAAAUUCGGACGAAAGAAGGUCGUUUUCGUUGUUCAGCAUGCGGACCAUCACAAAUUCCUGCACUGCAGCGUAAAAUCGGUGUUACAUUUGAAUGCAAAGCGAUUUUUCGACCCUAGAAACGUUCGUCUACUCAGUGCGUAGGAAGGACCCGGUGGAAUCAUUAAAAUGAUUACUGGAAACAAUGUUUGUUUCUAUGCUGCCUACGAGAACCAAGCAGCGAUAGCAGACGACAGAGUCGGGACAACCUCCUCUCCUGAGCUUCUCGGCGCUGCCGCUACGCGGCGUCGAUUUCGCUGGAGUCACGAAUAUUGCGCUGGUAAAUUUCCUGUACAUAGUGCUGCUUCAAAGAUGAACUGAAGUUUAUGUCUUCUAUGUGUGCAUUGGCAAUGGCAUGUGGCUCAACAAGACUUCACACACGAAAGUUCUCAAAUAGAAGAGGGAAUCAAUGUUCAUCCGGUAAGGUUUGGUAAUUAUCUCCGCCACAGAUGGCCCCCUUGGCGAAUUGUAACCGGCAGACCUUCAAACCGCACAAAGGCUAAGCAAAGCAACAACUGGAUGCAGCAAGACUAAAAGCUUUAUAAUAUACUGUAAGGACUAUGGCUUUAUAAUAAGCCUUUUAUAGCAAAACAUACUGAUCUGAAAAGCGUUGUUUGUGGUUAUUUUAAAGUGGUAUACGGAAACUUCGUCGUAUUGUAUUAAUUCUGAUUCACUGCACAGUUAAAAGGUUUGUCUUCGUUUGCUGCCAGAGAAAUAUAGCUUGCGAUGAACUAAAUCAAAGUUAUGACUGCUGGUGUCAUGUACAUAUUCAGAACUUUUUUUUAUUAAAAUAAUUGUAAUCAAGUGUUUUUAUGGGUUUUAGCACUGUGAUUAAGAUACGUCAAUGUGUUUUCUAAGAAAGACUACUAAUUUGCAGUUUGUAUCUUCUCCUAAAAUAUUUUGUAGAUCUGAGCAUGUAUUCAUACCUGAAUAUGUGCCAGGCAUUCCCCAGUAUGUGUAUAAUUGUUUACUAGGCCUGUAAGCUUCCCCACUACAUCAUUGCCGCUAUGUUAGCGCUUCCCAGCUAUUAUUCGAGAGAGAUAAGUGUUUCUCAUGAUCAAUUAGGUUGAGAUUGUUUAGCGUUAAUGUUUUUGAGUCCCCCAUUUUUAAUUCCUGACAGAGCGCUUCAAUGUCCGUUUAUUUUUGGUUUGCCGCUAUUUAUCACCACAAGCAAAAACAUCACGCCACUGGGAUUAACCUGAAGCUCACCUCAUGAUUAACGACGCUGCCGUCCACUGUCUUAAGCUGGCCCGAGCCCGAACCAGGCCAAUCAACGUGCUGGCCUGAACCAGGCCAAUCAACGUGCUGGCCCGAGCCCGGCCCGGGCCCACAGUCAAAAGUCCGAGCCCAUCCCAGGCCUGGGCUUUCGGCUCAUCAAAGUCUGGGGAUCUGGUUAUGCUUCCUGUACGAGACAGAUCACGAAGCGGUUGCUGACUGACCAGUUGGGGCGAAAAUUUUUGUAAGAAGGACGUAAGAGAAAGUUGACAUUCAGGAACCUUCACCUUGCUGAGUGCAUCAUAAAUGCAGUGCAGAGCUGCCAUAAAUGUGAAGACUUCAAGGUAGAAACCAUGGUCACGGAUUACCUUUGCCACGCACCUGCCUGACAUCAGUCAUCUCAAAUGGUAAGCUGGUCUUAUUAAGCUGAUGUUAGCACAAAAAUCAAACUUUUCUAGAACAGUAAGUAUGGUGUGCAAUUUCUUCAAAGCAUAAUUUCUAUAUAAGAGUAUUUGAAUGCUUUAAUUAUUAAAGCC